Non-coding RNA from Triticum urartu, 926 nucleotides. The record is from RefSeq and is a predicted model, not a curated record. NCBI's taxonomy places the organism in Eukaryota, Viridiplantae, Streptophyta, Magnoliopsida, Poales, Poaceae.
UGACAUCUUACUCUCUUGGCAGAGUUCAAAACAACAUGAUUCAAGCUGAUGAAAUUCAGUCGUAUUUUUUUCUUUUUUCCCGAGCAUGUAGUUUCUUCAACUGUUCUGAAGGUCCUCUCUUUUGUAAUUAAGCUCACAUGCAAAUGUCCUGGUACGUACUUAGAAUCAUAUAGCUGACAAUAUUCAACUUUUCUGAUGUAGUAAGAAUGCCAGGCGUUAUUUUGUCAUUGGUGUUUCCAUUUGUCGGUUACAGGUAUAUCAUUCCAAUAUUCAUACUAUAGAAGUCGUUGUCAGGGAGUGCGAGAUGGGCGGCGCAGUGGCCAGCGAUGGCAACAGCAUCACGACAGCUGUGUUCACCCAGUUUGAGGUGACGUCGAGGAGAUGUCGACGAACUCCGUGGAUGAGCGGUGGUCAUGAGAGUUUGCCGAGGAAGGCCGACUCGAUCAUGGAGUUGCUAUCGCUGCAGAAGGCGACGCUAGCAAUAGAGACAUCCAUCCAUUAGUGCCACCUUGAAUAACAACGUUGUAAGGCUCUGCACUGGUUGCUGAAGCAGCAGAGAGGCUUGCGUCAUGCAAGCAACUGGUGGCUACAAGGAUCUGUAUGUAAACAUGGCUUUUGCUAAAGAGAGAAACUGAGAGAUACUACUAUCCUGGUUCCAUGGAAGGCUUAUUUGUCAUCUUGAAUCCCGAUUUGGACAAGAAGAACUCCCCCAUGUUUCCUUGAAUCUCUAUAAAGCAGUGUUGUGCAUUACUAUUGAAUGACUCCGUGGGUCAUGGGCAUAGAGUGGAGGUUGCAUCACAUCCUCUACAUUGUGUCAAAGGACUUGCAUGUGGUGGCGUUCAUAGUGGACGGGGUUUGUUUUCAUGUAAGUGAUGGUCGAUGUAAGAUAGGUGGUGGAUGGAUGGGCAUUUCAUAAGUUUUUUUCC